RNAcentral lists this ribosomal RNA (540 nucleotides) under uncultured bacterium. RNAcentral's name for it is "partial 16S ribosomal RNA". It matches the Rfam family "Bacterial small subunit ribosomal RNA", at positions 356 to 909 of the family's 1533-position model. The record is from RNAcentral.
UGGGAAUCUUGCACAAUGGGGGAAACCCUGAUGCAGCGACGCCGCGUGAGUGAUGAAGCCCUUCGGGGUGUAAAGCUCUUUCGGCAGGGACGAUAAUGACGGUACCUGCAGAAGAAGCUGCGGCUAACUACGUGCCAGCAGCCGCGGUAAUACGUAGGCAGCAAGCGUUGUUCGGAAUUACUGGGCGUAAAGAGUGCGUAGGCGGUUUGGCAAGUUUGGUGUGAAAUCUCCUGGCUUAACUGGGAGGGUGCGCCGAAAAACUGUCAGGCUAGAGUGUGGGAGAGGAAAGCGGAAUUCCUGGUGUAGCGGUGAAAUGCGUAGAUAUCAGGAGGAACACCUGCGGUGUAGACGGCUUUCUGGACCACUACUGACGUUGAGGCACGAAAGCGUGGGGAGCAAACAGGAUUAGAUACCCGGGUAGUCCACGCCCUAAAACGAUGCGGACUUGGUGUUGGCCCUUCAUUGGGUCAGUGCCGCAGUUAAACGCGGUAAAGUCCGCCGCCUGGGGAGUACGGUCGCAAAGGCUGAAACUCAAAUGAA